UGUAGCUUAGUGGUAGAGUGCUUGCCUAGCAUGCAUGAAGCCCUGGGUUAGAUUCCUCAGCA
RNAcentral lists this transfer RNA (62 nucleotides) under Dipodomys ordii (Ord's kangaroo rat). It matches the Rfam family "tRNA", at positions 6 to 65 of the family's 71-position model. From Rfam's summary of the family: Transfer RNA (tRNA) molecules are approximately 80 nucleotides in length. Their secondary structure includes four short double-helical elements and three loops (D, anti-codon, and T loops). Further hydrogen bonds mediate the characteristic L-shaped molecular structure. tRNAs have two regions of fundamental functional importance: the anti-codon, which is responsible for specific mRNA codon recognition, and the 3' end, to which the tRNAs corresponding amino acid is attached (by aminoacyl-tRNA synthetases). tRNAs cope with the degeneracy of the genetic code in two manners: having more than one tRNA (with a specific anti-codon) for a particular amino acid; and 'wobble' base-pairing, i.e. permitting non-standard base-pairing at the 3rd anti-codon position. The record is from Rfam by way of RNAcentral. Lineage: Eukaryota; Metazoa; Chordata; Mammalia; Rodentia; Heteromyidae.